RNAcentral lists this ribosomal RNA (406 nucleotides) under uncultured bacterium. RNAcentral describes it as "partial 16S ribosomal RNA". It matches the Rfam family "Bacterial small subunit ribosomal RNA", at positions 29 to 526 of the family's 1533-position model. The record is from RNAcentral.
AUCGAACGCUGGCGGCAGGCCUAACACAUGCAAGUAGAACGAGUGGCGGACGGGUGAGUAAUGUUGGGGAAACUGCCUGAUGGCGGGGGAUAACUACUGGAAACGGAAGUUAAUACCGCAUACCAUCAGAGGGGCCCAGAUGGGCUUAGAUAGUAGGUGGGGUAAAGGUUCACCUAGGCCACGAUCCCUAGCUGGUCUGAGAGGAUGACCAGCCACACUGGAACUGAGACACGGGCCAGACUCCUACGGGAGGCAGCAGUGGGGAAUAUUGGGCAAUGGGCGAAAGCCUGAUGGAGCGAUGCCGCGUGGAUGAAGAAGGCUUUCGGGUGGUAAAGUACUUUCAGCGGGGAGGCGUUAGCCGCAGAAGAAGCACCGGCUAACUCCGUGCCAGCAGCCGCGGUAAUUC